GUCCCUUCGAGAACAUUUGAUAAAAUUGGAACAAUACAGAGAAAAUUAGCAUGGUCGCUGUGCAAGGAUGACACGUAUAAAUCGAGAAAUGAUCAAAAAAAAAUUUA
Solanum dulcamara is the source of this 107-nucleotide small nuclear RNA. The record is from RefSeq and is a predicted model, not a curated record. Lineage: Eukaryota; Viridiplantae; Streptophyta; Magnoliopsida; Solanales; Solanaceae.